AUCGCUUCUUGGCCUUUUGGCUAAGAUCAAGUGUAGGAAUAUAGUUUUAUUUUGAAACUUUGAAAUAUUUGCCUUAACUAUUAACUUGUAAGUAACUUUGAAAUAUUUGCCUUAACUAUUAACUUGUAAGUAACUUGUAAGGAUAGAGU
This is a small nuclear RNA of Papio anubis (olive baboon), 149 nucleotides long. Its record names the gene U2. It matches the Rfam family "U2 spliceosomal RNA". Rfam says of the family: U2 is a small nuclear RNA (snRNA) component of the spliceosome (involved in pre-mRNA splicing). Lineage: Eukaryota; Metazoa; Chordata; Mammalia; Primates; Cercopithecidae. The record is from Ensembl.